Molecule: small RNA, 548 nt
Filed under: Pongo abelii (Sumatran orangutan)
Lineage: Eukaryota; Metazoa; Chordata; Mammalia; Primates; Hominidae
Description: processed transcript
Source: RNAcentral
CACAGGGGGCACCUUGCCUUUUUGGCUCGGUGGCAAAGCGGUACGUGGGCCAUCCCGGCAGGCACUAGCGCUCCCCCUGCACCCUCUGGCCGCCCGGGCGCGGGACCUGGCCCCCGCCUCCUCCACAGUCUCCGACUUGCGAGCCGCACGGCCCAGGUGAAGCCGCUGGGCGCGUCCCCGCGCGCCCCUUCCCCCUCCCGGCGACUUCCUGAUUUGCAAGAAGGUGCAGGAGCCGCAGCGGGCUGCCCCGGUCGCAGGAACUGAGAGGCCUCAGCUUUGGUGGCGGCUACCGGCGGAGACGGGGGCGGCGGCCACGCCACCGCUGCUGUCACAGAAAGGCUCUGGGCAAAUCCAGACAGAACCUUUGACUUGGUGUUGAAAGUGAAAUGUCAUGCCUCUGAAAAUGAAGAGGACAGUCCAGUUUAUCUGCCGAGGAUUCCCCUUGGAAAAGUACGCCGAUUCGCAUUUUGCAUUAAGAAACUGGUAAACUUUCCUGUCGGUCCUGGCGUAGCGCCUCCCGCGUCCGGCGUAGACCCUGUACCGGCUGA